RNAcentral lists this ribosomal RNA (714 nucleotides) under uncultured Lactobacillus sp. Its description in RNAcentral is "bacterial SSU rRNA". It matches the Rfam family "Bacterial small subunit ribosomal RNA", at positions 8 to 683 of the family's 1533-position model. RNAcentral also lists the same sequence under 1 other name. The record is from RNAcentral. Lineage: Bacteria; Bacillati; Bacillota; Bacilli; Lactobacillales; Lactobacillaceae.
AGAGUUUGAUCCUGGCUCAGGACGAACGCUGGCGGCGUGCCUAAUACAUGCAAGUCGAACGCACUCUCGUUUAGAUUGAAGGAGCUUGCUCCUGAUUGAUAAACAUUUGAGUGAGUGGCGGACGGGUGAGUAACACGUGGGUAACCUGCCCUAAAGUGGGGGAUAACAUUUGGAAACAGAUGCUAAUACCGCAUAAAACCUAACACCGCAUGGUGUAGGGUUGAAAGAUGGUUUCGGCUAUCACUUUAGGAUGGACCCGCGGUGCAUUAGUUAGUUGGUGAGGUAAAGGCUCACCAAGACCGUGAUGCAUAGCCGACCUGAGAGGGUAAUCGGCCACACUGGGACUGAGACACGGCCCAGACUCCUACGGGAGGCAGCAGUAGGGAAUCUUCCACAAUGGACGAAAGUCUGAUGGAGCAACGCCGCGUGAGUGAAGAAGGUUUUCGGAUCGUAAAACUCUGUUGUUGGAGAAGAAUUUAUCUGAUAGUAACUGAUCAGGUAGUGACGGUAUCCAACCAGAAAGCCACGGCUAACUACGUGCCAGCAGCCGCGGUAAUACGUAGGUGGCAAGCGUUGUCCGGAUUUAUUGGGCGUAAAGCGAGCGCAGGCGGUUUCUUAAGUCUGAUGUGGAGCCUUCGGCUCAACCGAAGAAGUGCAUCGGAAACUGGGAAACUUGAGGCAGAAGAGGACAGUGGAACUCCAUGUGUAGCGGUG